UAUAUACUCUCUCCGAUCCAUAUUAAUUGUCUCAAAUUUGCCCAAGUAUGGAUGUAUCUAUGCUUAAAAAACGUUUAGAUACAUGUAAUAUUUCGACAAUUAAUAUGGAUCGGAGGGAGUGUAUU
This is a non-coding RNA of Brachypodium distachyon (stiff brome), 125 nucleotides long. NCBI's taxonomy places the organism in Eukaryota, Viridiplantae, Streptophyta, Magnoliopsida, Poales, Poaceae. The record is from Rfam.